Non-coding RNA from Paramuricea clavata, 1064 nucleotides. Lineage: Eukaryota; Metazoa; Cnidaria; Anthozoa; Malacalcyonacea; Plexauridae. The record is from the annotation of a GenBank genome assembly.
CAGAGGUAACUAAGCAUUUGAUAAGCCCUAUACACUAUAAAAGUCAUUAAUUCAUUCAUGUAGCUAGAUAAUUCUAAAGCUUGGUUAUCUUAAUUUGUUCUACUCUAUGCUUCAGUACACUAGAACAAUGAUACUUAGGCAUGUGACUUAUGUAAAGUUGUGAAUUGGAUAUAACCAAACUUAGACAAAUUUGUUUAUCGUCUAUAGUCUGGGGACUUGUUUGAUGAACUUUGUUUUAAUUUUUCCUUGAAUCCCAUUUUUGACAAAAACAAUUUCAUUAUAUGAACACAUAAACUUAACAAACAAAUAGCAGUCUUAAUCUCAAUCACAUGCAGCAUAAUAUGCAAUAGCCCCAGCGACUAACGCUCAAUAGAGCGUCUUGUUUACGUAUUAAAGUUUAGGUUCAUUCUUUCUGAGUUCCGUCACCAAAUAUCAUUUGAUACACGAACUUUUUGCCGCUGUCUAUUUAUCAUGUAAUGAUUUAUUAUUUUUUGCUUUGUUUUUAACUUCCAUCAUAUAAAUCAUUAAAAAUCCAAAUUUAAUUACGCAAGUUAAGAAAUUCUUUGUAGAAUGUAGGAUUGCAUGGCGAUAAAACAUAUGAUACUUUUUGUUCGUGGAAACACCACGUAAAUUUAUUACCGACUGCAAAUGGUACCAAUAAAUGAGAACUGGAAUUCAGAUGCUAUAUUUGUUAGUGAACUAGUGAAAAGUUCAUAAUAUUCAGCUUCGUCUGCGCGAACUCGUUUCGACCAUAGAUAUCUUAUAUACGCUACUCACUCACUAGAUAGUGCAUCUAAUUAUUCUGCAAUUCAAAAAUUGAGGCCGUGAUUGCAGUCUCAGGUCGUUCCCAUGAAAUACGAAGAUUCGUAUGUUUUCUAUUUCUCAAACAGGGAACUUAAACAUUAAGUUAACGCUAUUCUAAAUACGUUUUUAAGCUAUUCAAAUGAUGAAAGUUAUUGUUGUUUUUAAGCGUUUAUUAGCAAGUGGGAACGACCAACAUGGCCGCCAUCUAUUCAAAUGGGGGUAACCGCUGGAAUAUUCUUGGCUUCAAUUUUACUAAAAGA